RNAcentral lists this ribosomal RNA (266 nucleotides) under uncultured bacterium. RNAcentral's name for it is "partial 16S ribosomal RNA". It matches the Rfam family "Bacterial small subunit ribosomal RNA", at positions 793 to 1055 of the family's 1533-position model. The record is from RNAcentral.
GUCCACGCCCUAAACGAUGUCAACUAGUUGUUGGGGGCCUUACCGCCCUUAGUAACGCAGCUAACGCGUGAAGUUGACCGCCUGGGGAGUACGGUCGCAAGAUUAAAACUCAAAGGAAUUGACGGGGGCCCGCACAAGCGGUGGAUGAUGUGGAUUAAUUCGAUGCAACGCGAAAAACCUUACCUACCCUUGACAUGUACGGAAGCCCGAUGAAAGUUGGGUGUGCCCGAAAGGGAGCCGUAACACAGGUGCUGCAUGGCUGUCGU